This 825-nucleotide ribosomal RNA is filed under the name Campylobacter jejuni. RNAcentral's name for it is "bacterial SSU rRNA". It matches the Rfam family "Bacterial small subunit ribosomal RNA", at positions 609 to 1431 of the family's 1533-position model. The record is from RNAcentral. Lineage: Bacteria; Pseudomonadati; Campylobacterota; Epsilonproteobacteria; Campylobacterales; Campylobacteraceae.
UUAACCAUUAAACUGCUUGGGAAACUGAUAGUCUAGAGUGAGGGAGAGGCAGAUGGAAUUGGUGGUGUAGGGGUAAAAUCCGUAGAUAUCACCAAGAAUACCCAUUGCGAAGGCGAUCUGCUGGAACUCAACUGACGCUAAGGCGCGAAAGCGUGGGGAGCAAACAGGAUUAGAUACCCUGGUAGUCCACGCCCUAAACGAUGUACACUAGUUGUUGGGAUGCUAGUCAUCUCAGUAAUGCAGCUAACGCAUUAAGUGUACCGCCUGGGGAGUACGGUCGCAAGAUUAAAACUCAAAGGAAUAGACGGGGACCCGCACAAGCGGUGGAGCAUGUGGUUUAAUUCGAAGAUACGCGAAGAACCUUACCUGGGCUUGAUAUCCUAAGAACCUUAUAGAGAUAUGAGGGUGCUAGCUUGCUAGAACUUAGAGACAGGUGCUGCACGGCUGUCGUCAGCUCGUGUCGUGAGAUGUUGGGUUAAGUCCCGCAACGAGCGCAACCCACGUAUUUAGUUGCUAACGGUUCGGCCGAGCACUCUAAAUAGACUGCCUUCGUAAGGAGGAGGAAGGUGUGGACGACGUCAAGUCAUCAUGGCCCUUAUGCCCAGGGCGACACACGUGCUACAAUGGCAUAUACAAUGAGACGCAAUACCGCGAGGUGGAGCAAAUCUAUAAAAUAUGUCCCAGUUCGGAUUGUUCUCUGCAACUCGAGAGCAUGAAGCCGGAAUCGCUAGUAAUCGUAGAUCAGCCAUGCUACGGUGAAUACGUUCCCGGGUCUUGUACUCACCGCCCGUCACACCAUGGGAGUUGAUUUCACUCGAAGCCGGA